GGCGGAGCAGCUCGGCCGCCGGAGACGGUCUGUGAAGACUGACUGACAUGAAGGUUGAGAUGAGAAUUUCAAGAUGAAUUACAAAAUAGGAAAGAAGGAAGAAAGGAGGAAAGGAGAAAGGGAGGAAAGAAAGGAGGGAAGAAAGAAAAAAGACUUUGAGAUACAUAAUUGCUAGAAGUGAGAUAAAUAUUUAGCUUUUGCAUACACAAAUGUACUCGUCAAAUAACACAUCAGAUGUGAUUCCUCGAAAUAAACCGAACGCAAAGGCCGUACGAAAAUAGCCGAUCUUUAAAGGUGAGAAAUACUCGAUCAUUCUAUUUCAGCU
Molecule: long non-coding RNA, 325 nt
Filed under: Homo sapiens (human)
Lineage: Eukaryota; Metazoa; Chordata; Mammalia; Primates; Hominidae
Description: HSALNT0099625
Source: RNAcentral